RNAcentral lists this ribosomal RNA (490 nucleotides) under uncultured bacterium. Its description in RNAcentral is "bacterial SSU rRNA". It matches the Rfam family "Bacterial small subunit ribosomal RNA", at positions 355 to 861 of the family's 1533-position model. The record is from RNAcentral.
UGGGGAAUAUUGCACAAUGGGCGCAAGCCUGAUGCAGCAAUGCCGCGUGAGUGAAGACGGCCUUAGGGUUGUAAAGCUCUUUCGCCUGUGAAGAUAAUGACGGUAGCAGGUAAAGAAACCCCGGCUAACUCCGUGCCAGCAGCCGCGGUAAUACGGAGGGGGUUAGCGUUGUUCGGAAUUACUGGGCGUAAAGCGCACGUAGGCGGACCAGAAAGUUGGGGGUGAAAUCCCGGGGGCUCAACCCCGGAACUGCCUCCAAAACUAUUGGUCUAGAGUUCGAGAGAGGUGAGUGGAAUUCCAAGUGUAGAGGUGAAAUUCGUAGAUAUUUGGAGGAACACCAGUGGCGAAGGCGGCUCACUGGCUCGAUACUGACGCUGAGGUGCGAAAGUGUGGGGAGCAAACAGGAUUAGAUACCCUGGUAGUCCACACCGUAAAACGAUGAAUGCCAGUCGUCGGGUAGCAUGCUAUUCGGUGACACACCUAACGGAUU